This is a long non-coding RNA of Gavialis gangeticus (Gharial), 198 nucleotides long. RefSeq lists it as uncharacterized. The transcript has 3 exons. The record is from RefSeq and is a predicted model, not a curated record. NCBI's taxonomy places the organism in Eukaryota, Metazoa, Chordata, Crocodylia, Gavialidae.
UGAUUGGCUGUCUUGGAAGAUAUUGAUAAUUACCACACUUGAGAAAAAAACACAAUACAAGCAAUUAUUUGAUCUGAAAUUACACUUAUGGGAUUAUCCUACUCAUGCAAUAUCAUUAUGGAUUUGUGAAACCAUCUAAACAGAUUUUUAAAAGCAGAGACCCCUAAUAUAUUUGGGAUCCUUUGACCCUAGCUGAAU